Molecule: long non-coding RNA, 342 nt
Organism: Quercus robur (English oak)
Lineage: Eukaryota; Viridiplantae; Streptophyta; Magnoliopsida; Fagales; Fagaceae
Exons: 2
Source: RefSeq, a predicted model, not a curated record
UUUAAACUGUUUUUGUUACUAAAAUGACUAAAUCUUGUUGUGAAUGCUCUUUUUAAAGCUAAAAAAUUGAGAGUGCAUCUCUAGAGGAAACAAAAGCCAUUGCUAACCUAUACUAAUAGAUUAUAUGCAUUGCAUGCAUAUCUCGUGGUGGGUUUGCUAUUUUUAGGCCUAGCGGAAUUGGUGGCUGUGUAUUUUGAUGGGCCUACUGAAGGUCUUUGUUAAUUGUAGUCAAGGCGACUUGAUGUAUUUGGGGUUUUAAGGCGAAAAUUGAUUAUCUUAUUGAUAGUGGUAAGUAGAAGAGUGAUGCUAAUGGUAAACUUAGAUGAGAACUAGUAAAAAUUU